UUACCUGGUAGUCCACGCUGUAAACGAUGUCGACUUGGAGGUUGUUCCCUUGAGGAGUGGCUUCCGGAGCUAACGCGUUAAGUCGACCGCCUGGGGAGUACGGCCGCAAGGUUAAAACUCAAAUGAAUUGACGGGGGCCCGCACAAGCGGUGGAGCAUGUGGUUUAAUUCGAUGCAACGCGAAGAACCUUACCUACUCUUGACAUCCAGAGAAUUUAGCAGAGAUGCUUUGGUGCCUUCGGGAACUCUGAGACAGGUGCUGCAUGGCUGUCGUCAGCUCGUGUUGUGAAAUGUUGGGUUAAGUCCCGCAACGAGCGCAACCCUUAUCCUUUGUUGCCAGCGGUUCGGCCGGGAACUCAAAGGAGACUGCCAGUGAUAAACUGGAGGAAGGUGGGGAUGACGUCAAGUCAUCAUGGCCCUUACGAGUAGGGCUACACACGUGCUACAAUGGCAUAUACAAAGAGAAGCGACCUCGCGAGAGCAAGCGGACCUCAUAAAGUAUGUCGUAGUCCGGAUCGGAGUCUGCAACUCGACUCCGUGAAGUCGGAAUCGCUAGUAAUCGUGGAUCAGAAUGCCACGGUGAAUACGUUCCCGGGCCUUGUACACACCGCCCGUCACACCAUGGGAGUGGGUUGCAAAAGAAGUAGGUAGCUUAAC
Molecule: ribosomal RNA, 656 nt
Filed under: bacterium LB-160
Lineage: Bacteria
Description: bacterial SSU rRNA
Rfam family: Bacterial small subunit ribosomal RNA
Source: RNAcentral